AUUGAACGCUGGCGGCAUGCUUUACACAUGCAAGUCGAACGGUAACAGCACUUCGGUGGCUGACGAGUGGCGAACGGGUGAGUAAUACAUCGGAACGUGCCUAGUCGUGGGGGAUAACUACUCGACAGAGUAGCUAAUACCGCAUGAGAUCUAAGGAUGAACGCAGGGGACCUUCGGGCCUUGCGCUACUAGAGCGGCUGAUGGCAGAUUAGGUAGUUGGUGGGAUAAAAGCUUACCAAGCCGACGAUCUGUACCUGGUCUGAGAGGACGACCAGCCACACGGGGAGUGAGAAACGGCCCAGACUCCUAAGGGAGGAAGCAGUGGGGAAUGUUGGACAAUGGGGGCAAGACUGAUCCAGCAAUGCGGCGUGCAGGAUGAAGGCCUUCGGGUUGUAAACUGCUUUUGUAAGGAACGAAAAGCCCUCUUCUAAUACAGGAGGGUCAUGACGGUACCGUAAGAAUAAGCACCGGCUAACUACGUG
Molecule: ribosomal RNA, 482 nt
Filed under: uncultured bacterium
Lineage: Bacteria
Description: partial 16S ribosomal RNA
Rfam family: Bacterial small subunit ribosomal RNA
Source: RNAcentral